This 481-nucleotide ribosomal RNA is filed under the name uncultured bacterium. RNAcentral describes it as "partial 16S ribosomal RNA". It matches the Rfam family "Bacterial small subunit ribosomal RNA", at positions 29 to 507 of the family's 1533-position model. The record is from RNAcentral.
AUGAACGCUAGCGGCAGGCCUAAUACAUGCAAGUCGGACGGGAUUCAGGAGCUUGCUUCUGAUGAGAGUGGCGCACGGGUGCGUAACACGUAUGUAACCUACCUUUAUCAGGGGGAUAGCCUCUCGAAAGAGAGAUUAAGCCCGCAUAAAAUCACAGCACAGCAUUGUGUAAUGAUCAAAUAUUUAUAGGAUACAGAUGGGCAUGCGGAACAUUAGCUAGAUGGCGGGGUAACGGCCCAACAUGGCGACGAUGUUUAGGGGAUCUGAGAGGAUGGCCCCCCACACUGGUACUGGGACACGGACCAGACGCCUACGGGAGGCAGCAGUAAGGAAUAUUGGUCAAUGGGCGGAAGCCUGAACCAGCCAUGCCGCGUGCAGGAAGACGGCCCUACGGGUUGUAAACUGCUUUUAUACGGGAAUAAACCCAGAUACGUGUAUCUGGCUGAAUGUACUGUAAGAAUAAGGAUCGGCUAACUCCGUG